UUUAUGUCAUGAUAAUUGUGUGAUUGAUAAGAUAUUUUGGUUUUGGACUUUAUCUCAUGGAUUUAGAGUUCGAUUAUAUUUGGAAGUGGAAUAAUGCAUUCAUUUACAUAUGAUGUUUGAUGAAGUUCCCAUAAAAUUAAUUCAAUUAUAUAUGUUUAUGGUUCUAAGGAAGCGGGGCAAAAAUUUUAUCAGUGGGUUGAUUUCACUAGUUUAAGUUAGUAAAGCAAAGAAAUUGUCUUUAUGCACUUUAACUUUCCUCCAUUUAAGGUGAAAAAAUUAUUGAAGCUUUUAGAAGUGAAUUGUUCAUUUUGUUUGUGCACUUAUGCAGAUGGAUUUACUUUUGGCUGCUUAACCCUUCCUCACUUAUAUUUUUUCAGUUUAAAUUGCAGUGUUUUGCUGCUGUGCAACAGCACAAGAGGCUGUUUUAUUGUUGUUUCUGUAAAAACACAGCACCAGGAAGCGUCCAGGUAAUGUUUCGCUGCUGUUAUGCAGUAAAAACAACACCUGAAAGUUUCUAGGUGCUAUUUUUACUGCUGUUUACGCAGAAACACAGCACCUAAAAGUGUCUCUAGGUUCUGUUUAGCUGCUAUUAUGCAGCAAAAACAGCACCUGGAAACUUCCAAGUGCUGUUUUUAUUGCAUUUUAUGCAGAAACAAAGCACCUAGAAGCAUUCAAGGGUUGCUUUACUGUUGUUUUGUAUUUAAAAUUGCUGUUAGAAAUUUUGGGUGCUAUUUCUCUGAAAUUUUGCUAUUAACAGUGCAGCUUAAUAAUUUCAUAUGUCGUUUUGAACCUUCUUCAGUUCUUUUCUCUUAUGUCUAUACUUAAUCUUUUCCCCCCUGGUAAUAAGCAGGUACAAUUUUUGCAAGGUAAUAUCUAAGCAUGCUGUUAAUUCUUUGGUUGAGACGUAGUAUUCUAAACUUCAGGCCUUAAUUUUUUUAUUUCCAAGUGUAUAAUGGGUAGGUACUGGAUCUCUUAUGGAUGAUGUAGUUAAUGCUUUUUUAUUGUCUCUAUUUUGGCAAAUGUGUUGUCAUUUAUUAUCUGAACACAUGGUUGAUUAACUUACUUGAGGUAAGUCUAUUAAUUAAUAGUGAUAUGAUACUUUAAAGUCUUGUUUUACAACUUAAGUCACUAAAAUGAUUUAAUAUUUAUGAUUUAUAAUAUAUGAAUAUAUCUUAAUUUCUCUUUAUUCUUUGUAAGAAUGAUGUAGAUUGCUGAAGCUGGUGAGAUUCAUUUGCAAUUGAAGACUUGAUGAGAAAUUAGAUGUACUCACACAUGCCAAUCUUGUUGGUUGCUAGUGCAUUCACUAGUAGAAGUUUAAUGAUUGUUGGAGAUUUUUGUAGAGCUAUCUCUUUGUAUAUGAAACAUUUGCAUCAUUUUGNNN
RNAcentral lists this long non-coding RNA (1381 nucleotides) under Citrus maxima (pomelo). Its description in RNAcentral is "long non-coding RNA (CMAX_LNC004441)". Lineage: Eukaryota; Viridiplantae; Streptophyta; Magnoliopsida; Sapindales; Rutaceae. The record is from RNAcentral.